GGCCUUCCCACAAGGGAAGGCC
RNAcentral lists this unclassified non-coding RNA (22 nucleotides) under synthetic construct. The record is from RNAcentral.